CCUACGGGGAGCAGCAGUGGGGAAUAUUGCACAAUGGGGGAAACCCUGAUGCAGCGACGCCGCGUGAGUGAUGAAGGAAUUCGUUAUGUAAAGCUCUAUCAGCAGGGAAGAAAAUGAAGGUACCUGAGUAAGAAGCCCCGGCUAACUACGUGCCAGCAGCCGGGGUAAUAAGUAGGGGGCAAGCGUUAUCCGGAUUUACUGGGUGGAAAGGGAGCGUAGACGGCAGUGCAAGUCUGGAGUGAAAGGCGGGGGCUCAACCCCCGGACGGCUCUGGAAACUGUACGGAUGGAGUGCAGGAGAGGUAAGUGGAAUUCCUGGUGUAGCGGUGAAAUGCGUAGAGAUUAGGAGGAACUCCAGUGGCGAAGGCGGCUUACUGGACUGUAACUGACGUUGAGGCUCGAAAGCGUGGGGAGCAAACAGGAUUAGAUACCCCGGUAGUC
This 440-nucleotide ribosomal RNA is filed under the name uncultured bacterium. RNAcentral's name for it is "partial 16S ribosomal RNA". It matches the Rfam family "Bacterial small subunit ribosomal RNA", at positions 338 to 795 of the family's 1533-position model. The record is from RNAcentral.